UUACUACUCCCUCCGUUCCAUAAUUCUUGUCGAAAUAUUACAUGUAUCUAGACGCUUUGUAGGAAUAGAUACAUCCAUUUUUAAACAAAAUUGAGACAAGAAUUAUGGAACAGAGGUAGUACAUG
Brachypodium distachyon (stiff brome) is the source of this 125-nucleotide non-coding RNA. The record is from Rfam. Lineage: Eukaryota; Viridiplantae; Streptophyta; Magnoliopsida; Poales; Poaceae.